RNAcentral lists this ribosomal RNA (267 nucleotides) under uncultured bacterium. Its description in RNAcentral is "partial 16S ribosomal RNA". It matches the Rfam family "Bacterial small subunit ribosomal RNA", at positions 88 to 354 of the family's 1533-position model. The record is from RNAcentral.
CCGGCGACCGGCGCACGGUGAGUAACACGUAUGCAACCUGGCCGCCACAGGGGAUAACCCGCGGAAACGCGGCCUAAUACCCCGUGACGCCACCGGAGGGCAUCCUCCGGGUGGCCAAAGGAGCGAUCCGGUGGCGGAUGGGCAUGCGGCGCAUUAGCUAGACGGCGGGGUGACGGCCCACCUAACCGACGAUGCGUAGGGGUUCUGAGAGGAAGGUCCCCCACACUGGUACUGAGACACGGACCAGACUCCUACGGAAGGCAGCAG